GUCAUAAUAAAGAUAAAAAUAAAAAAGUAUGUAAGCCAAACUUCCCUAAGAAGCAAAAAUAACUUAGGUGUGGAAAAUCUGCUUGUUAAGGCGGGUAAAAGAAAACUUCUCUUUUCUUACACUGACUUGGACUACAAUGUCCAGAAUGCAAUGCGGCAGAAACUCCAUUUGUACAUUUAACGUUUUCAAAUCUGAAAAGCUGCAACGACUGAAAGAUUUCUCUUCACUUUUAAUAUCUAAUGGGAAACAUGAAAUAAAAAUCAAUAAAACUAUGAAGUGUGUGGAUGUUGUUCUUUCAAAUAUAAAUCCAAAAUUACAAAUUUUUCCCUCCAUUAGUAACGAAAGAUCAAACACGUUUGGUGUUGAGAAUCUGGUUCAUGCGGAACCUAAAACUUUUUCUGCUUCAUCUUCACUACAAAACAUUUUAAAUUAAAACUUUUUUUCCACAAUAUUACUGCACAUAAAAUCAGCCGAAUCACCAGAAAAUGGACUCAAAUAAAGAAAACCUGCUCAGUUUUCCAUUCUUUUAAAUGUUCUGUCUCUUUAAGAGUCUGAAAAAGUCCGGUGUGCUCCAACAGAUCAGCUGGUAAAGGAAAUCAAUCAGCAGAUGUUACAUACAGUUAGAGUCCAUGCGCGACGGGGCUGAUACAGCAGGGUUCACUGAAGUGAAAGUUAAAGAGAUAACAUCACGUCUACAGUUUGUUUAACUGUAUUUUUUACGUCGAUAAUUAAUCCUCCAAUUAAUUGUUUUAAUUGGAGGAUUUCUGAGCAGUAGUGGCCUGUAAAUCAGAUUUAAGUCAAAACUUUGACUUGACCAGUCGGAGGCGGACUUUCCGGUGUGUUUUGCGACAUAUUGUCCUGAUGCUACCGUUAAAGCAGGAAUAUGUUUUUCUUUAUUUAAAACAGGUUUUUAAAAUCAAAGAAAACAAGUAACCAGUGGGACAUGAGAUGUGAAUACGAAAACAAAAAGGAAGAGGUGAAAACUUAUUUAUGUAACUAUUACUUACAAAUAUAAAUGAUUUUUUUAACAUAUUAGUUGAAACUGUUAGUAUGUGGUGACAGUUUGGCAUGAGACAGAUAAUCUAUGAACAAAUACAGCUCAGUCAGAAACAACCAAUCAGAACCAGGAGGCGGGUCUUAGCGCUGUCAGUCAUCCUCCUCCUUUUUCUCUGCUGAGCUACAGUUCAACGCAAUGCAGGCAGCCAUGAAUGCUAAUGCUAGUUAGCAUGACCACCAAAGACAGCAGAUAAACAUUAAAUAGUUUCACUGCAUGUACAGGAGCUUGAUUGACAGCGCUAAGGCCUUCCUCCUGGCUCUCACUGGUUGAUUUUGACACAGAACGGUGCGUAGCAAUAGGAGGAUGAGGAGGAGCUCGACCUUUUACCUCUCAUCACACUAUCACGAUAUACAGUCGACAGCUCGUGAUCUGGUUCAGACAGAAAUAUGUGCCAAAGUUUAUGACCGGAACGCCGACUUCAGCUGACCCGCGUUGAGUCAACACCACUGGAAAACUGAGGCAAGCUCCAAUGAGGGCAAAGGUCAAAGGAUCAGACCCUGACGAUUCUGUCGGGUUCAUGUCCAGCAGGAGCUACAGAAGGAAGAAAGAAAACCCAGAUCAGUAACCGAGGAUCCCGGUGCGGCUCGGCUCGUUGUUGGUAGAAGGGGCUGUCGAAGCCGCUGUCCUGCUGCCGCUGCCUCAGCUCAGAGAACGGCGGCCUGGAGAAAACGUUGCCGUCUGAGC
Non-coding RNA from Poecilia reticulata (guppy), 1741 nucleotides. The record is from RefSeq and is a predicted model, not a curated record. Lineage: Eukaryota; Metazoa; Chordata; Actinopteri; Cyprinodontiformes; Poeciliidae.